AGGCCACUGCUAUCGGAGUUCGAUUAAGCCAUGCGAGUUGAGAGGUGCAAGACCUCGGCAUACUGCUCAGUAACACGUGGACAACCUACCCUAAGGAGGGGGAUAACCCCGGGAAACUGGGGAUAAUACCCCAUAGACUAUGGAUGCUGGAAUGCUUUGUAGUCGAAAGGUCCGCCGCCUUAGGAUGGGUCUGCGGCCGAUUAGGUUGUUGUUGGGGUAACGGCCCAACAAGCCUGUAAUCGGUACGGGUUGUGGGAGCAAGAGCCCGGAGAUGGAUUCUGAGACACGAAUCCAGGCCCUACGGGGCGCAGCAGGCGCGAAAACUUUACAAUGCGGGAAACCGUGAUAAGGGAACUCCGAGUGCCCGUUAAAUCGGGCUGUCCACCAGUUUAAAUAACUGGUGAAGAAAGGGCCGGGCAAGACCGGUGCCAGCCGCCGCGGUAAUACCGGCGGCUCGAGUGGUGGCCACUAUUACUGGGCUUAAAGCGUUCGUAGCUGGUUUGUUAAGUCUCUGGGGAAAUCUACCGGCUUAACCGGUAGGCGUCUCAGGGAUACUGGCAGACUAGGGACCGGGAGAGGUGAGGGGUACUCCAGGGGUAGGAGUGAAAUCCUGUAAUCCUUGGGGGACCACCUGUGGCGAAGGCGCCUCACCAGAACGGCUCCGACAGUGAGGGACGAAAGCUGGGGGAGCAAACCGGAUUAGAUACCCGGGUAGUCCCAGCUGUAAACGAUGCGCGUUAGGUGUAUCGGUGACCACGAGUCACCGAGGUGCCGAAGAGAAAUCGUGAAACGUGCCGCCUGGGAAGUACGGUCGCAAGGCUGAAACUUAA
Molecule: ribosomal RNA, 830 nt
Filed under: uncultured archaeon
Lineage: Archaea
Description: bacterial SSU rRNA
Rfam family: Archaeal small subunit ribosomal RNA
Source: RNAcentral